This 399-nucleotide ribosomal RNA is filed under the name uncultured eukaryote. Its description in RNAcentral is "partial 18S ribosomal RNA". It matches the Rfam family "Eukaryotic small subunit ribosomal RNA", at positions 592 to 975 of the family's 1831-position model. The record is from RNAcentral.
CAAUAGCGUAUGCUAAAGUUGUUGCAGUUAAAAGGCUCGUAGUCGAAUAUGUGAUUGAUAUUGAUGUUGAUCCAGUUCCGUUUGUGUGAGCUGUGUAUGUGACAAUCGAUCAAUCAUUUGUCUGUAUGAACUCUACUACUCUUGAUUGAGUUCUGGUAGAGGGAAUGGGAUCAUUUACUGUGAGAAAAUCAGAGUGUUCAAAGCAGGCUUUGUAAUGCUUGAAUGGUUCAGCAUGGAAUAAUGAGAUAAGACUUUGGUUUUGUUUGAUUGGCUUGACGAGUCAAAGUAAUGAUUGAUAGGGAUAGUUGGGGGUGCUAGUAUUCGAUGGUCAGCGGUGAAAUGCAAGGACCCAUCGACGACUAACUUAUGCGAAAGCAUUCAUCAAGGAUAUCUUUUUUG